Scylla paramamosain (green mud crab) is the source of this 5134-nucleotide long non-coding RNA. RefSeq lists it as uncharacterized. NCBI's taxonomy places the organism in Eukaryota, Metazoa, Arthropoda, Malacostraca, Decapoda, Portunidae. The transcript is spliced from 3 exons. The record is from RefSeq and is a predicted model, not a curated record.
AUAGAAUGGCGUCUCCCUUCCCUCUGGCAACAGUAAUCGAGAGACAGUGAUGAGGAACGCAAGCUGAGAGGAACAAAUAUCUACCUCAACGAUGACUUGUGUGCUGCCUCCCAAGCCAUCAAAAACGCCCAGAUCCCCCAGCUGAAGCAAGCAAGAGCUCAGGGGGAAAUAGCCUAUUUCAGACAUACUAAGCUCAUUGUUAAGGAUCAACCAGUUCGAAGUUCUGACCAGCCCAAGAAUGACGAGUCACUGAUUACCGGACUUGGAAAGAUGACUACCCAAGGACAUUCAAGCGACGUUGCUGCUGACGGUGGUGUUGCCCAGGUGACUACUCCUAUUGAUGCUGCUACGGCGAGAGAUGACAGCUGGAUGGACACAGCAGGAACUAAUGAGAAGAACCGGGAUGCUGCCUAUUCUUCCCUCCCCACCACCCGUGGCGGGAAUACCUCGGGGAGCUCGCACCCCAUCUUCAUCCCAGGCCCAGGACACCAGCACAAGAAAGAGCUCGAGAAGAAAUAACAACAAGAAGGUUGCCACGUAGGCAGGGGUGACGUCAGCAACAAGGGCGGCAUCGAGUGACUGGAGCGAGGCAAGGGAGGCAAGGAGCGAGGCCUGGAAUCGAGAACACGUCAGAUACUUCGCCACCACCACACCUGCCACCUGUUCGCUGUCUCACUGCCAGUACUCGUCCAUAGUUGUGUUGUGACCCAUCUACGUAUCUUGUUAAGUAAAGAGAAAAAAAAACAAGAUUUGUUUCCCUGCUGCCUGAAGCUAUCUAGGCAUUAUGGGGGAUAAAUUUGGCUUGAAGUUGACCCCCGAGUUCGAUGGCAGUGGUACGCAGGCUGUGAUGGAAUGACUCGAGAAUCUGGAUUUGGUCUGCAAGCUUCUAGGUGUCGACGAUGUAGCAGAUGUGGUUCUACUAGGUCUAACGGGAGGUGCGUUCGCCGUUGUAACGCUCCUUUUUAUUAUUUCUGUGUUUCUUUGAGUCUCCACAAUAAUUGUUUUCUUUUGUAGCUUGCGGUGAAGAGGAGGAUAAUAGCGGUAAUUAAAGGUUUAGUGAUUAUAUGAAAAAGUAUAUUUAUAAGGCGUGUAUUCGUGGGAGUGAUUUAGAAGUCUUGAAACAUUUGUUAUAAAUAGUCUUUACUUAUUUCAACUGUGGUUUUCUCUAAUCAGUGGUAAUACGAAUAAUAGGAUUACAUCAUGUUGCGUCAGCCUACCAGUAACUCAUAAGGUGUUAUUCCCUAGCUUAUAAAAUAUGUUAGUAAUUUAGAAUUCAAUUAUUAACUUCAACUAAUGUCCAGCCUAUAUGCUCACCUUGCUAGCCAAUUAUUCCUGCAUUUUUAUUUAAACUCACGGUUCAGUAAAAUUAUUUGUGAAAGAAGAGAGAGAGAGAACUAGCUAAGGUUCCAAUAACUUCAGAGGCCUGGGGGUGGGUGUUGAAGGGGAGAGCACAGAAUGGCGUCUCCCUUCCCUCUGGCAACAGGUGGGUCUCGUAGCUCUGAAAUAUUUGAUUUUUCUUUUAUUUAGAAGUGAAUAUUACUGUGUUCAUGUUUAUUAUUCAUGUCUCUAGUGAAGAUAUAGUGACUGUACGUGUUGACAGAAUGGCGUCUCCCUUCCCUCUGGCAACAGAUAAAAUAGCCGGUGUUGGUCCCACGUGGAGACAGGCCACAGAGUCUUGGGAAAGUGUUAGCCAUGUAAUGUUUCUUUAGUCAAAUACAGUCUACUGUGAAUGUGUUGUGAGCAAUAUUAUUGCCGUAGAGAAGUGAUGGAUGAAGGCUGUGACGCUAUUUAGGGAUAUAACGGUGCCCAGAAUCAAUGGUACUCUUGAGGAGUUAUAAAUGUAAUUAUUUUCUUGUGUAUUCGUAGUGUUAAGUAACGGAGUAUAAGUGUAUAUGCCAUACCAGAAUUUCAAGUGCCUUUUUUUUCUUUUUUUUCUAGAUUAACCACUCGAUAAAGUGUCAUAGUCGGUCAGUCAACCCAAAGAAUCCCAUCAGUAUUAUUCAUUUAAUUAUUUUUGCUAUUUUUAUAUUUUUCGUUCCUCAUAAUAAAGCCACACUGUAGGUACUGUGUGAUAAUUAACCUCUCCCUACCCUCUGGCCAUGACGAUGAAGGCGAGAACCAUUACCAAUCAAAAAUGUUUUUUUUUUGUGUGUGUGUGUGUGUGCGUGCUUCACCUCUUCUCUCUUCCUCUUCUUUUUUCUUCUUCUUCACCGUGAAGAUCUUUGCCUCGUCUCAUUAGAGCUCUGAUCGGACCGGUGACGAGGAGGGAGGAGGGGGGUACCGGAGGGGGGGUGGCAUUACACUGGUGGCAUAGCGGUGGGAUUCGCUGUAGUCUUGGCCAGUCAUAUUGGGAGAGACAGAGUACUGACAGUUGGGUAAUAUUAGGUCAAAGGUAUAUCCUCACCAUCAUAGAUCACUUCUCUAGGUAUGUAAAAUUUUAUCCUCUAAAAACAAAACAUGCUCAGGGUAUAGUAGCUAAGCUUUCCCAAUACAUCUCUGACUUUGGCUGGCCACUCUCCAUCCUGUGUGACAAUGCCUUGGAGUUCACGGGACGAGAACUAAGAACCUGGGCUGGUCUUCAUGGGAUAGAACUGCUCUACACCACUCCCUAUCACCCCCAGUCAAACGGACUCAUCGAGAGAAUGCACCGGACCCUGAAGACCGUGCUGUCCCAAAUGUGCAAGGGUUACCCUUUAAGGUGGCCCGCCCUUCUCAGUGAAUGUCAGUCACACAUGAAUCUGGCAGUACAUAGCAGCACGGGGAUCUCUCCAUAUGUAGCAUUCUUCGCAAGACAGCCACCUCGUUUCGUCACGGAGCCUCUCCUGACGGUGCAGUCUGAAGAUAGUGACGUUCAGCAACUUAAGCGCAUGAUUAAAGACGCUAGUGUGACGUCACAGAGGAGGUACCGUGCAGUGGCGAACAGAAAACGACGUGAUGAAAAGGUCUCAGUUGGGUCCUUGGUGUGGGUGAAAUCAGAAACUCCGUUGCCUGGUACCUCUACCAAAUUGAAUGCUAAGUGGAAAGGACCAUAUCGAGUGAGUGAGGUAAUCAGGGACGGUCAACUGUAUGUAGUGGAGGACCCCUAUUCUGGGAAGUUAGUACAAAGAGCAGCAGAAAAGGUGAAACCGUAUGUGAGCCGGAGUGAAAUUAUUCCGGAGUUGGAGGAGAACUAUUCAGACGGAUGUGUUGAGGAGGAGGAGGAGGAGGAUCAAGACCUCCCUCCCCGCCGCCGUCGAUCUCCCAGACGUCUUAUUGAGGAGUGCUAAUGUGAUGCACGAACUCAGGAGUGAGGAGAAGUGAACAGUGUUAUAAUGUAUAGGAUGUGAGGGUUAGGAAUGAAGUGAGUUAAGAGCAGGAAAUCCUCAUCCGUCACAAGUGUUCGAAGGUCAGUGACACUGUCUCAGCCACAAAUAGAGUGGGGCAUUUCGGGAAAGUCGUCCCCAAAUUCUCGUCGUGUCGAAACAGUUCAUACCAGAUGGUAGCUUAUGUGUUUCAGUUCGGGGAAGUGUACCCCAUUCUUGUGGGCUUUAGUUCGAGAAGUGAGGUUUCCAGGGAACGUCGUACUUGGUUACUUCCUCCUCAAGUUACAGUCAUCACCUCUAACGGGUCCUAAGUUUCCCUUGAGGACGUAUUACCCCAGUCUUCGUUGUAGUAAGAGGAAUGAUUUGUGUGAAUGUUGGCGAAUGUGUCGAAUGCUGCGAAUGUAAUAGAUUAUUCCUUUUCUAUGAGACGGGGAAUAAAGAGAGUGACGGAGUUAGUCAGGUGACUUCUCCAUAGAUUACCCGUAGAGCAGAGGGUGACUGGGGUCCAAGUUCUCUUUUCCUGUAAGUAUUCUGUAUGUGAAAGGUGUUGGUACAAUUUCCUACAGGAAGAAAUAUACGAGUCAGGUGACUCAAGGGUAAGUGGUUGAGUCAGUGUCAGCUGUUUAGUAGACCUUAUGUAUUGAUAGGAUAGGGAAAGUGUAUAGGUAGGAUUUUGCAUGUAUUCUUCACCGUGAGUUUAACUCUGGGAGAAUGGGCAUGUGUAACGCUCCUUUUUAUUAUUUCUGUGUUUCUUUGAGUCUCCCCAAUAAUUGUUUUCUUUUGUAGCUUGCGGUGAAGAGGAGGAUAAUAGCGGUAAUUAAAGGUUUAGUGAUUAUAUGAAAAAGUAUAUUUAUAAGGUGUGUAUUCGUGGGAGUGAUUUAGAAGUCUUGAAACAUUUGUUAUAAAUAGUCUUUACUUAUUUCAACUGUGAUUUUCUCUAAUCAGUGUAAUACGAAUAAUAGGAUUACAUCAUGUUGCGUCAGCCUACCAGUAACUCAUAAGGUGUCAUUCCCUAGCUUAUAAAAUAUGUUAGUAAUUUAGAAUUCAAUUAUUAACUUCAACUAAUGUCCAGCCUAUAUGCUCACCUUGCUAGCCAAUUAUUCCUGCAUUUUUAUUUAAACUCACGGUUCAGUAAAAUUAUUUGUGAAAGAAGAGAGAGAGAGAACUAGCUAAGGUUCCAGUAACUUCAGAGGCCUGGAGGUGGGUGUUGAGGGGGAGAGCACAGAAUGGCGUCUCCCUUCCCUCUGGCAACAGGUGGGUCUCGUAGCUCUGAAAUAUUUGAUUUUUCUUUUAUUUAGAAGUGAAUAUUACUGUGUUCAUGUUUAUUAUUCAUGUCUCUAGUGAAGAUAUAGUGACUGUACGUGUUGACAGAAUAGCGUCUCCCUUCCCUCUGGCAACAGAUAAAAUAGCCGGUGUUGGUCCCACGUGGAGACAGGCCACAGAGUCUUGGGAAAGUGUUAGCCAUGUAAUGUUUCUUUAGUCAAAUAUAGUCUACUGUGAAUGUGUUGUGAGCAAUAUUAUUGCCGUAGAGAAGUGAUGGACGAAGGCUGUGACGCUAUUUAGGGAUAUAUCGGUGCCCAGAAUCAAUGGUACUCUUGAGGAGUUAUAAAAGUAAUUAUUUUCUUGUGUAUUCAUAGUGUUAAGUAACGGAGUAUAAGUGUAUAUGCCAUACCAGAAUUUCAAGUGCCUUUUUUUCUUUUUUUUGUAGAUUAACCACUCGAUAAAGUGUCAUAGUGGGUCAGUCAACCCAAAGAAUCCCAUCAGUAUUAUUCAUUUAAUUAUUUUUGCUAUUUUUAUAUUUUUCGUUCCUCAUAAUAAAGCCACACUGUAGG